This 357-nucleotide unclassified non-coding RNA is filed under the name soil metagenome. RNAcentral's name for it is "partial contains 5.8S ribosomal RNA, internal transcribed spacer 2, and large subunit ribosomal RNA". The stretch from base 1 to 120 matches the Rfam family "5.8S ribosomal RNA", at positions 35 to 154 of the family's 154-position model. The record is from RNAcentral.
GAUGAAGAACGUAGCGAAAUGCGAUAAGUAAUGUGAAUUGCAGAAUUCAGUGAAUCAUCGAAUCUUUGAACGCACAUUGCGCCCGCUGGUAUUCCGGCGGGCAUGCCUGUUCGAGCGUCAUUUCAACCCUCAAGCUCUCCGGAGUUUGGUGUUGGGGCGCCUGGGGCUUUUCGACCUCAGGGCCCUCAAGUCCAUCGGCGGGACCGCCAGGACACUGAGCGCAAUAGUAUUAUUUCGCUCGGUAGGAUCUUCCACGGCGGGUCGAUCUGGCCGCUAAACCCCCCAAUUCUCACCAAAGGUUGACCUCGGAUCAGGUAGGAAUACCCGCUGAACUUAAGCAUAUCAAUAAGCGGAGGA